Molecule: ribosomal RNA, 705 nt
Filed under: uncultured bacterium
Lineage: Bacteria
Description: bacterial SSU rRNA
Rfam family: Bacterial small subunit ribosomal RNA
Source: RNAcentral
GGAGUAGCAAUACUCCCGCCGGCGACCGGCGCACGGGUGAGUAACACGUAUGAAACCUGCCCGUAGCAGGGGGAUAAGCGGAAGAAAUUCCGUCUAAUACCGCGUAACAACCCAUGGAGGCAUCUCCGUGGGUUUAAAGGAAGCGAUUCCGGCUACGGAUGGUCAUGCGUCGCAUUAGCUUGUUGGCGGGGUAACGGCCCACCAAGGCGACGAUGCGUAGGGGUUCUGAGAGGAAGGUCCCCCACACUGGUACUGAGACACGGACCAGACUCCUACGGGAGGCAGCAGUGAGGAAUAUUGGUCAAUGGCCGCAGGGCUGAACCAGCCAAGUCGCGUGAGGGAUGACGGUCCUAUGGAUUGUAAACCUCUUUUGUCAGGGAGCAAAGGGCGCCACGUGUGGCGUUUUGCGAGUACCUGAAGAAAAAGCAUCGGCUAACUCCGUGCCAGCAGCCGCGGUAAUACGGAGGAUGCGAGCGUUAUCCGGAUUUAUUGGGUUUAAAGGGUGCGCAGGCGGAAUGUCAAGUCAGCGGUAAAAUUUCGGGGCUCAACCCCGUCGUGCCGUUGAAACUGGCGUUCUUGAGUGAGCGAGAAGUAUGCGGAAUGCGUGGUGUAGCGGUGAAAUGCAUAGAUAUCACGCAGAACUCCGAUUGCGAAGGCAGCAUACCGGCGCUCAACUGACGCUCAUGCACGAAAGCGUGGGUAUCG